Molecule: long non-coding RNA, 283 nt
Organism: Helianthus annuus (common sunflower)
Lineage: Eukaryota; Viridiplantae; Streptophyta; Magnoliopsida; Asterales; Asteraceae
Exons: 2
Source: RefSeq, a predicted model, not a curated record
AGUCACAGUAUUCGUCCCUGAAGCCACGAAUUUCGUAUUGGUACGUUUCGUACCAUACGGAAUUCGUAUGAGUAUCGUACGGUUCCAAUUCGCGAAUUGCAGACAUUAAUUCAGCGUAUAAUACGUAUUAGGGUUUGGAAACGGCGCGUAUGAAUAGAAUUGGCGGGAUUAUAAAAAAGCGGGAGACACAGAGAAUACGAAUGGACGUUUCCGUAAUUCUGAUCAAUUACCAAAACCCAGAAACCCAUAAUCAUCUUUAUAUAUAUACUGAUUUCUUACUCAA